Carassius auratus (goldfish) is the source of this 560-nucleotide long non-coding RNA. RefSeq lists it as uncharacterized. The transcript is spliced from 3 exons. The record is from RefSeq and is a predicted model, not a curated record. Lineage: Eukaryota; Metazoa; Chordata; Actinopteri; Cypriniformes; Cyprinidae.
GCCAUCACUUAAAGUCUCUUCCGCAUUUCUCAAAGCUGUAAUAGCGGUCUCUGCGCGAAUGACAUAAUCUGUGACGCUCUCAUUGACAGCUUUCUUGAGAGACGUAAGCUCUGUGUAUAAGCUGAUCACUCGUGGUUUCCCUUUACCAGCAUAGUGUUCUCUCAGAAUCUUCAGCGCCUUUCUUCCAUCAUCCGCUGCAUCUCUCAUCACAAGGGAAAGGCUUUUAUCAUCCAACAGCUGAACCAGUUCUGCAUACGUGUAACAGGGUUAAAAAGAGUACUUAAUUUAAGAGUUUUGAUGUGUGAAUUUCAUAAAAUAAGCAUUUGGUUAAAUUCAUUGGUGUUCAAAGGCUCCCCUCCUGUGGCUAUUAAUGGUACUGCAGACAGUGUAUUUUGUCGCUCUUCUCUUGCCGUACUCCAGCAGAUUUGAGUGUCGCUGCUGUGGUCUUGAAUGUCUGCAGUAGUUUAUCUUCAGCCAAAGUGAUUUGUGCCAUUUUAUUUCCAAAAGAUAAAGGCAAGCACAAGGAAACCCACGUGUGAGUGUGUUUGUUCACGUCUGUU